Molecule: transfer RNA, 87 nt
Filed under: Acidobacteriota bacterium
Lineage: Bacteria; Pseudomonadati; Acidobacteriota
Description: Acidobacteria bacterium tRNA-Leu
Rfam family: tRNA
About the family: Transfer RNA (tRNA) molecules are approximately 80 nucleotides in length. Their secondary structure includes four short double-helical elements and three loops (D, anti-codon, and T loops).
Source: RNAcentral
GGGGCUGUGGCGGAAUUGGCAGACGCACCAGACUUAGGAUCUGGCGUUCGAAAGAACAUACCGGUUCGACUCCGGUCAGCCCCACCA